Molecule: long non-coding RNA, 563 nt
Organism: Hyalella azteca
Lineage: Eukaryota; Metazoa; Arthropoda; Malacostraca; Amphipoda; Hyalellidae
Exons: 3
Source: RefSeq, a predicted model, not a curated record
UUAAGCCCUCCUCCUGUCGCCGACGAUCCCACAGGGGCGAUCGCCUCUCAUCCUGACAGGAGAUUCCUGCCGUCACGCCCCUUGCAGCAGGCUGAAGGUGAUCCUUACCGCAAGGACCUGCAACUGCACGCGCACGGUGAGCAAGUCUUCAGACACCACGAAAGCGGCGAGGGUUUCGCGGGCGUUGUCUACCAGCCGCCUUCAUUGCAUGGUGUCUCUGAUGCCAGCUUGUACCGAAGUGGAUCGUACGAAGAACUUUCCGGAAACGUGAUACUAACAGCGGACUACGGUCAGACGGCUGAUCGAACUCUCCCUUCCCUCCAGCGCAAGCAUCACCCAACACUCGUCGUCGCUGGGCAAAACGACGUGCAGAAGCCAAAGAAGCAUAAAACACAACCCAGGAGUUGCAAACGUAACACCAACCAGAAAAAUGUGAGUGGCGAGGACUCCGAGGGCUAUCCUGAGAAGACAAAUGAUGCAACCGGCAUUGUGUAUGAGAAACAACUGAAUAAUAGACUUCUUCAACGCUCCGGCCAAACGUUCGAACUUUAUCGAGUUCAAGA